UCGUUCAUUUGGCGGCAUAUCCAC
This 24-nucleotide non-coding RNA is filed under the name Arabidopsis thaliana (thale cress). Lineage: Eukaryota; Viridiplantae; Streptophyta; Magnoliopsida; Brassicales; Brassicaceae. The record is from RNAcentral.